ACGAGUUCUGAUUAUUGAAAGGUGCUUGCAUCUUGAUUUAAUUUUGAACGAGUGGCGGACGGGUGAGUAACACGUGGGUAACCUGCCCUUAAGUGGGGGAUAACAUUUGGAAACAGAUGCUAAUACCGCAUAAAUCCAAGAACCGCAUGGUUCUUGGCUGAAAGAUGGCGUAAGCUAUCGCUUUUGGAUGGACCCGCGGCGUAUUAGCUAGUUGGUGAGGUAACGGCUCACCAAGGCAAUGAUACGUAGCCGAACUGAGAGGUUGAUCGGCCACAUUGGGACUGAGACACGGCCCAAACUCCUACGGGAGGCAGCAGUAGGGAAUCUUCCACAAUGGACGCAAGUCUGAUGGAGCAACGCCGCGUGAGUGAAGAAGGCUUUCGGGUCGUAAAACUCUGUUGUUGGAGAAGAAUGGUCGGCAGAGUAACUGUUGUCGGCGUGACGGUAUCCAACCAGAAAGCCACGGCUAACUACGUGCCAGCAGCCGCGGUAAUACGUAGGUGGCAAGCGUUAUCCGGAUUUAUUGGGCGUAAAGCGAGCGCAGGCGGUUUUUUAAGUCUGAUGUGAAAGCCCUCGGCUUAACCGAGGAAGUGCAUCGGAAACUGGGAAACUUGAGUGCAGAAGAGGACAGUGGAACUCCAUGUGUAGCGGUGAAAUGCGUAGAUAUAUGGAAGAACACCAGUGGCGAAGGCGGCUGUCUGGUCUGUAACUGACGCUGAGGCUCGAAAGCAUGGGUAGCGAACAGGAUUAGAUACCCUGGUAGUCCAUGCCGUAAACGAUGAAUGCUAGGUGUUGGAGGGUUUCCGCCCUUCAGUGCCGCAGCUAACGCAUUAAGCAUUCCGCCUGGGGAGUACGACCGCAAGGUUGAAACUCAAAGGAAUUGACGGGGGCCCGCACAAGCGGUGGAGCAUGUGGUUUAAUUCGAAGCAACGCGAAGAACCUUACCAGGUCUUGACAUCUUUUGAUCACCUGAGAGAUCAGGUUUCCCCUUCGGGGGCAAAAUGACAGGUGGUGCAUGGUUGUCGUCAGCUCGUGUCGUGAGAUGUUGGGUUAAGUCCCGCAACGAGCGCAACCCUUAUGACUAGUUGCCAGCAUUUAGUUGGGCACUCUAGUAAGACUGCCGGUGACAAACCGGAGGAAGGUGGGGAUGACGUCAAAUCAUCAUGCCCCUUAUGACCUGGGCUACACACGUGCUACAAUGGAUGGUACAACGAGUUGCGAGACCGCGAGGUCAAGCUAAUCUCUUAAAGCCAUUCUCAGUUCGGACUGUAGGCUGCAACUCGCCUACACGAAGUCGGAAUCGCUAGUAAUCGCGGAUCAGCACGCCGCGGUGAAUACGUUCCCGGGCCUUGUACACACCGCCCGUCACACCAUGAGAGUUUGUAACACCCGAAGCCGGUGGCGUAACCC
RNAcentral lists this ribosomal RNA (1410 nucleotides) under Lactobacillus sp. Its description in RNAcentral is "bacterial SSU rRNA". It matches the Rfam family "Bacterial small subunit ribosomal RNA". The record is from RNAcentral. Lineage: Bacteria; Bacillati; Bacillota; Bacilli; Lactobacillales; Lactobacillaceae.